CAAAUCUUGAAUAUUCGCACCAACCUGAAGGCACAGAUGUUGAACAUCAUAUGAGCUAAUCGAGCAAUGAUCUUGUUAGCUGCUUUUGAAGCCUGAGUUUGACCUCUUGACCUGCGUAUCAGAAUAACCACCUGUUAAAACUUACACAAAAAUGCAACUCCAUAGUCUUGAGCUGUUUGUGAUUCAAGAGAAGAUUAAGACAACUUACUUCACAAAGAACUCGACUGAGCUAAAUUUAGGAUCAGUAUGUAGUAAUUAUAGUCGACAGUUAAAUGUUAAUUGCUAGCAACAGUACAGUAUUUAUUAUUAUGCAAUAAAUACUAAAGAAUAAACCUGUGACUUUCCUGAAGUGGAAGUGCGAAACUGCCUGAAAAAAUAUAUAUAGCAUACAAAAGCCUGCAGUCCAAUUCUUCCAGCUAAUCUGCAAAAAGUGUUAUUUGUUCCUACGUAUGAAAAUAAAAUCUCUGGUUUUAAAGUCCCUGUAAACUCCAUUUAAAAAAGAGAUUAGUGCAGUACAAUGGAGAGGAAGAUCAAAGGGUCUGUAGUUGUUGUACACUAUAAUGUAUUACAUUCUAAUUAUACUUCAUAUAGGUUCCUACAUUCUAAUAGGUCCCUAUUGUAUUUUCUUGCAUUUAUUGCUGAUACCUCAUAUGAAAAAUAUGAACUCUAAACUAUAUGUUGAUAGUAGUACUAUAAAUAUUAUAAUUUAUUUUAUGUUCGCCCUCUAAUUGGUGUUUUACUUUGUAUUUAACUAUUGUUGUCCAAGACAAUUGGGACAUUAUAUGUUAUUCUCAGUGUAUCUUUCAAGACCAAAACAUCGGUGAAAAGUUCACAAUUUUGUUGAAAAAAAAUACAUACUGUUUGGUAGAUUGUUUGAUAGAUUCCUAUAUUAUUGAAUUGGUUGAUCGAUUGAUUGAUUAAAUGAUGUUUGAUAAAUUGCUUAAUCAAAUCGAUGUUUGCCCUACCUGAUAUAGUACUGAAUGCUCAAUACGUUCACAAAUGCUUGUAAAAAAAAUUUUGCAAGUGAUUCGGGUGGGAAUCAAAACCAAGACCUGCAGAUAACUAGCCUGGUGUCUUAACUACUCAACCACCAAGUUUGCACUUGGUGGCUAGUGAUCAAUCUGAUCCCAAAUAGCAGCAAUAACAUUGAUUUGUAUUAUUUUUCUUGACACAAGAUGCCAUUGGAUUAAGUUUAACAGCAUAUGGAAACGUUUUUGCCACUUUUUAUCAUUUGCUAGUCCAGCUAUCACGAAAGCAGCGAACUGAGGUCAAAUCAACCCCGCUGUACAAGCAGUUUGGUUCGACCAGUUAAAAACAUUGGGUUUGUUCAUUAUGGGGUUAAAUACUAACAAAACUCAAUGUGCACAGUCGAUAUUCUUUUGUUAAAACUUGUAUUUGAACACAUAACAUGGUACAAUGUAAAGUAAACAAAUGCUGAGAUCUCUCUUCCCCUAGUCCACGCUUUCGUGUUGGCAGGAUUGGCUUAGCCCUAAGGUAGACCCCUACGGAAAUUUUCAAACGGUCCAGACUAUAAAUUGCAUUUUUUGCAUAAAUAUAGCCUAAUUGCUGCAAGUAUCUUGUCUUGGGACAUUUGUUUUUUAAUAAAGGUAAUAAAAGUACACAAAAAAUCCAACUGAUAACUAAAUUAGGCCAAAUUACGCAAGUCAAGCAAACAGAAGUAUGACAUCAUAUCAGUGAAUCGGACUAUCACGCUUGAGAGAUUUUUUGACCCCAUGAGAGGCAAUCGUGGAUUGGAUGGAUUUUUGUUGUUUUCUUUUUUUUCGAUAAAACUACCCAACCAAUCAUACUAAGUUUUAUAUCAGCUUCAAGCUUAUUAUAUUCUCUCCACGAAUCCACUUGGGCCAAUUCGAACAAACAAAUGGUCUGUGAGUGAGGGAGUAGGAAAUGAGCUUGGAACAGCCAAAAACCUCAAAUUUCUUGAAAUUGCCUAUCUAAAUCGGCGUGAGGAGCUGUUAUAAAUCGGCGUAUUCCGAGAAAACUGUAGGGAUUUUUUUCAUUUUUUCUUCACGAAUUGGUAGAUUAAUAUUUUUUACAACAUAAUCCGCUUGGGCUAUUACAUAGAUUUUGUACCAAAAACGUACUUUUGUGAAAAAAAUCCAACUUUCUCCAAUGGUUAAGGCGACCUUGGAGAGCAAAUGAUACAACGUUUCCAUAUGUGUUUUAAUCUUUGUCUGGUUGAUCUAUUAUUUGAUUCAGUGAUUCAUUGUUUGAUUAAUCUUCUUUUAAAUUAUUGUUUUAUUAAUUAAUUAUAUGUUUGAUUAAUUUGAUUGAUGUUUGAUUUAAUGAUUGAUAAAUGGAUUAAUUGAUUAAUUUGUUGAUCGGUACUGAUUGAUUGAUUGAUUAAAGUAAUUGCUUUUAGUUUGCCAAAUACUGUAUGCAUCAUCCUACGCCAACCUCAGUAUAGCUACAUGAUUGCAUAAUAGCAUUAGAUUUGAUUGAAUUUAAAGUGACAACUGUUUUUUUUUUUUUUCACCGCCAGGAUUUAAUACUUUGUUCAAUUUAAAUCAAUUGGUUCAACAAACUUUUCAGCACAAUUAGGUUCACUUUUAACUUCAAAUCUUCUUUGUUGACUUGCUUUGUAUGAGCGGAGUAGCAAGUGUUUAAUUUGACUCAACACCCACACAGCUUCUACCCAAAACCAGGAUAUGAUUUCAUUGAAAAAUCGGUGAGGCAAAUACACAAUAUUAAAUUUAUGUAGAUUGUGGAACAAGUUCAGUCUGCAUAUUCACUAUCAAAUCCUAAUUACUUAUCUACCAGUCUCGCCAUAAACUCACUCACUGGAGUUUUUGUAUCAUUUUCAAGAGGGUACAAGACAUUCUAUUCUGUGACCCUCUCUUCCCCCUCCCCCCAAUCCCUAAAGGAUUACGUAAAAUGCUGUUGUAAUUUUUGGAUCAUUUUUUUUUUUUUUUUUCAUUUUUAUAUAGGCCUACCAUGUAAACCUCCCUAUCAUAUGUUUUGUGCUUUCGUAAAAAGAAGUUGAAAAAUUUAAAGCUCUUUCAGGAUUUUUGGGGUUGUCUAAUGUAAUUUCAAAUGUUUCUACUUUUAAAUGUUGAGCUGCGAAUCAAUCAAAUCAAAUACUCUAGUAGGACGACCUCUCACCUAUUUGAACCUGUUUUUAUUUUUUAAUGCUGUUUAAAAAUGUAAACAUCCUGACUUGAUUUAUUUGCUAAUGCUACAAUGUACAAAGACUAUGUUAAGUACUUUCCACGCUCUAUUAAGUUUUUUUCUGACAAAAAAACUGUUGUAUGCCCAUAUAUAGUCAUAAUGCACUUGUAUAUGAUCAUGAUGUGAUGUCAUCAUGACCAUAUUUAGGCAUGUCACAUGUUUUUGUCAAAUAAAAAUAAUAAUAAUAAUAAAACCCAAUUAACUAUGUAGAGUACCCGAUUAUUGCCUUCAAAGGGCCGACCGAUGGGUUAAAAUAAUUAUUAUCUACUGUUUAUCUGCCUAUAGGCAAUUCGUAUUUAACAGGUUAUUUGGGCUUUUAAAUCACACACGCCUCAAGUGUUUGGAACGUAGGUGUUAAAUCUGGUUAACAAUGCUUGUAUAAAUACUAAGCUUAUUGAUAUUGGUCACAAAUGUGUUACCUUUUUUCCAAUACAAUGACUGUGUAAAUAUAUGUUUAUAUCUCUGAAUAUAUUAGAAUAUAUGAUCCUAAUAAAUUCGUCUCUGGCAGAUACCACAGGCUGGGACAAACCAAAACAUGCCUUCAUGACAUGCCUUCGUUUUAGAAUUACCUUUAAAAUUGGGAAUGCGCAACUAAAUCACUGUUCCAAUGAAAAUUUAAUGGUCGUUUUGUUUUUAACACCCAUCGAACCCCCUCCCCCACGGAUUGUCGCAAAACACAUCCUAUUUCCCCCUGGUCUAUGGCUUUGUUGCGAGGUUCAUAUAAUAAUUUUUUUUUUUACAAUUCGUGUUCCAUCCAUGGUAUUUUCAGUAAUUGUAAUUCAUAUAUUUUUAUUAUUGAAAAUAAAAAAUAAGUAUCUGAAAAAAUGUAA
Anneissia japonica is the source of this 4016-nucleotide long non-coding RNA. RefSeq lists it as uncharacterized. The transcript has 2 exons. The record is from RefSeq and is a predicted model, not a curated record. NCBI's taxonomy places the organism in Eukaryota, Metazoa, Echinodermata, Crinoidea, Comatulida, Comatulidae.